GAUGAACGCUGGCGGCGUGCCUAAUACAUGCAAGUCGAGCGAACGGACGAGAAGCUUGCUUCUCUGAUGUUAGCGGCGGACGGGUGAGUAACACGUGGAUAACCUACCUAUAAGACUGGGAUAACUUCGGGAAACCGGAGCUAAUACCGGAUAAUAUUUUGAACCGCAUGGUUCAAAAGUAAAAGACGGUCUUGCUGUCACUUAUAGAUGGAUCCGCGCGGCAUUAGCUAGUUGGUAAGGUAACGGCUUACCAAGGCAACGAUGCAUAGCCGACCUGAGAGGGUGAUCGGCCACACUGGAACUGAGACACGGUCCAGACUACUACGGGAGGCAGCAGUAGGGAAUCUUCCGCAAUGGGCGAAAGCCUGACGGAGCAACGCCGCGUGAGUGAUGAAGGUCUUCGGAUCGUAAAACUCUGUUAUUAGGGAAGAACAUAUGUGUAAGUAACUGUGCACAUCUUGACGGUACCUAAUCAGAAAGCCACGGCUAACUACGUG
This 497-nucleotide ribosomal RNA is filed under the name uncultured bacterium. RNAcentral describes it as "partial 16S ribosomal RNA". It matches the Rfam family "Bacterial small subunit ribosomal RNA", at positions 28 to 507 of the family's 1533-position model. The record is from RNAcentral.